GCGAUUGGGCCCGAGUUUGAUCCUGGCUCAGAACGAACGCUGGCGGCAGGCUUAACACAUGCAAGUCGAACGCGUGUAGCAAUACACGAGUGGCGCACGGGUGAGUAACGCGUGGAUAUCUGCCUUUUGGUUCGGAAUAACCCCGGGAAACUGGGGCUAAUACCGGAUGGUUCCUACGGGAUAAAGAUUUAUCGCCAAAAGAUGAGUCCGCGUACGAUUAGCUAGUUGGUGAGGUAAUGGCUCACCAAGGCGACGAUCGUUAGCUGGUCUGAGAGGACGAUCAGCCACACUGGGACUGAGACACGGCCCAGACUCCUACGGGAGGCAGCAGUGGGGAAUAUUGGACAAUGGGGGCAACCCUGAUCCAGCCAUGCCGCGUGAGUGAUGAAGGCCUUCGGGUUGUAAAGCUCUUUUGGCGGGGACGAUGAUGACGGUACCCGCAGAAUAAGCCCCGGCUAACUUCGUGCCAGCAGCCGCGGUAACCCCUGUGUGAA
This 494-nucleotide ribosomal RNA is filed under the name uncultured bacterium. Its description in RNAcentral is "bacterial SSU rRNA". It matches the Rfam family "Bacterial small subunit ribosomal RNA", at positions 1 to 535 of the family's 1533-position model. The record is from RNAcentral.